CCCUUAGAUGUUCUGGGCCGCACGCGCGCUACACUGAUGCAUUCAACGAGUUUCUUCCUGGUCCGAGAGGAAUGGGUAACCUUUUGAAAGUGCAUCGUGAUAGGGAUAGACUAUUGCAAUUAUUGGUCUUCAACGAGGAAUUCCUAGUAGACGUAGUUCAUCAGACUGCAUCGAUUACGUCCCUGCCCUUUCUACACACCGCCCGUCGCUCCUACCGAUUGAAUGCUCAGGUGAGCCAUUCGGACUUUCAUCAUGCUGGUUUCCAGUUUUGAUGAAGGAAAGUCUUGCGAACCUUAUCAUUUAGAGGAAGGAGAAGUCGUAACA
Molecule: ribosomal RNA, 324 nt
Filed under: uncultured eukaryote
Lineage: Eukaryota
Description: partial 18S ribosomal RNA
Rfam family: Eukaryotic small subunit ribosomal RNA
Source: RNAcentral